This 402-nucleotide ribosomal RNA is filed under the name uncultured bacterium. RNAcentral's name for it is "partial 16S ribosomal RNA". It matches the Rfam family "Bacterial small subunit ribosomal RNA", at positions 360 to 774 of the family's 1533-position model. The record is from RNAcentral.
AAUAUUGGACAAUGGGCGAAAGCCUGAUCCAGCAACGCCGCGUGAGGGAUGACGGCCUUCGGGUUGUAAACCUCUUUCAGCUCUGACGAAGCGCAAGUGACGGUAGGAGCAGAAGAAGCACCGGCCAACUACGUGCCAGCAGCCGCGGUAAUACGUAGGGUGCGAGCGUUGUCCGGAAUUAUUGGGCGUAAAGGGCUCGUAGGCGGUUAGUCGCGUCGGGAGUGAAAACCCGGAGCUUAACUCCGAGCCUGCUUCCGAUACGGGCUGACUAGAGGUAUGCAGGGGAGAACGGAAUUCCUGGUGUAGCGGUGAAAUGCGCAGAUAUCAGGAGGAACACCGGUGGCGAAGGCGGUUCUCUGGGCAUUACCUGACGCUGAGGAGCGAAAGUGUGGGGAGCGAACA